UACGGAGGGAGCUAGCGUUGUUCGGAAUUACUGGGCGUAAAGCGCGCGUAGGCGGCUUUGUAAGUUAGAGGUGAAAGCCCGGGGCUCAACUCCGGAACUGCCUUUAAGACUGCAUCGCUUGAAUCCGGGAGAGGUGAAUGGAAUUCCGAGUGUAGAGGUGAAAUUCGUAGAUAUUCGGAAGAACACCGGUGGCGAAGGCGGCGACCUGGUCCUUUGACUGACGCUGAGGCGCGAAAGCGUGGGGAGCAAACAGG
RNAcentral lists this ribosomal RNA (254 nucleotides) under uncultured bacterium. RNAcentral's name for it is "partial 16S ribosomal RNA". It matches the Rfam family "Bacterial small subunit ribosomal RNA", at positions 524 to 776 of the family's 1533-position model. The record is from RNAcentral.